CACCUGUUUAACAAAAACAUGUCUUUUUGAAAUAAAUUUAAAGUCUGACCUGCCCACUGAAAUUUUUAAAUGGCCGCAGUAUUCUAACUGUGCAAAGGUAGCAUAAUCAUUAGUCUUUUAAUUGAAGGCUGGAAUGAAUGGUUGGACGAAAUAUUAACUGUUUCAUUUUAAUUUUUUAUAGAAUUUUAUUUUUUAGUCAAAAAGCUAAAAUAGUAUUAAAAGACGAGAAGACCCUAUAAAUCUUUAUAUUUAAUUUAUUUUUAUUAUAAAGAUUAAUUUUAUUUAAAUAAAUUUAAAUAUUUUAUUGGGGUGAUAUUAAAAUUUAAAAAACUUUUAAUUUUUAAAAACAUUAAUUUAUGAGUAAUUGAUCCAGUAAUAUUGAUUAAAAAUUUAAGUUACUUUAGGAUAACAGCGUAA
This 417-nucleotide ribosomal RNA is filed under the name Drosophila nasuta. Its description in RNAcentral is "partial 16S ribosomal RNA". The stretch from base 1 to 161 matches the Rfam family "Archaeal large subunit ribosomal RNA", at positions 1892 to 2099 of the family's 2987-position model. Lineage: Eukaryota; Metazoa; Arthropoda; Insecta; Diptera; Drosophilidae. The record is from RNAcentral.